Molecule: ribosomal RNA, 509 nt
Filed under: uncultured bacterium
Lineage: Bacteria
Description: bacterial SSU rRNA
Rfam family: Bacterial small subunit ribosomal RNA
Source: RNAcentral
CGAACGCUGGCGGCGUGCUUAACACAUACAAGUCGAACGCGAAAGGGACUUCGGUCCUGAGUAAAGUGGCGCACGGGUGAGUAACGCGUAGAUAACCUGUCUUCAUGUCUGGAAUAAUACGCCGAAAGGGGUACUAAUACCGGAUAUUCUUGCUUUUCAUAAGUUAUGCAAGCAAAGGUGGCCUCUGCAUAUGCUACUGCAUGAAGAGGGGCCUGCGUACCAUUGGCUAGUAGGUGGGGUAAUGGCCUACCUAGGCGACGAUGGUUAGCGGGUCUGAGAGGAUGAUCCGCCACACUGGCACUGGAACACGGGCCAGACUCCUACGGGAGGCAGCAGUGAGGAAUAUUGCGCAAUGGGGGAAACCCUGACGCAGCGACGCCGCGUGAGUGAAGGAAGGCCUUCGGGUCGUAAAGCUCUGUCAAGAGGAAAGAAGUGUACAAUGGCUAAUACCUGUUGUAUUUGACGGUACCUCUAAAGGAAGCACCGGCUAACUCCGUGCCAGCCGCAGC